This 1113-nucleotide long non-coding RNA is filed under the name Nicotiana benthamiana. RNAcentral describes it as "long non-coding RNA (NBEN_LNC004619)". Lineage: Eukaryota; Viridiplantae; Streptophyta; Magnoliopsida; Solanales; Solanaceae. The record is from RNAcentral.
UUAAGCUUAUGAGUCAUUACAUCCGGUGGAAUGCCUGUCAUAUCAGCAUGGGACCAGGCAAAACAAUCUACGUUAGCUUUUAAAAAUUCAGUUAACUUACCUCGCAUGUCGGGAUUUAGAUUGGCUCCUACGUAAACUUUUUUCUCUGGUCAUUGUUCAAAUAACACCACGGCCUCGAGUUCUUCUAUUGUCGUUUUGAUGUUCUCGUUUUCUUUAGGUUCUUGAAUUACAUCGGGCCUCGAAUCUAAAUCUGUUGUUUCAAUUGAAGUUUGGUUGCCAACACCUUCAACUUUUUCCAAUAAUUGCUAUUUCUCUUUACUUGCGGUGCUCGUAUAUGUUAUGGCGUUGAUACUCUUGGCUAUUUGUUGAUCCCCUCGAAUUUGACAUAUUCCCCAAGGUGAUGGACAACUGUUUCCAAUAAUUGCUAUUUCUCUUUACUUGCGGUGCUCGUAUCUGUUAUUGCGUUGAUACUCUUGGCUAUUUGUUGAUCCACUCGAAUUUUACAUAUUCCCCAAGGUGAUGGAAAUUUAAAGAUUUGAUGUAAGGUUGAUGGAACAACAUCCAUAUCAUGGAUCCAAGGUUUACCCAUGAUUACAUUAUAUGCCAUUUCCAAAUCCACUACCUGAAACUUAGUUUCUUUAACAACACCUUGCAACAUAAGUUGUCAGAGUUACCUCACCUUUUGUUACCACGCUUGAGUUGUCGAAGCCUGACAAAGCAUGCGCUUUUGGUAUCAUUUUAUCUUCAGCUUGCAUUUCCCGCAGCACUCUUAGUAGAAUGAUAUUUACGGAGCUACCUGGAUCAAUCAAAACUCUUUUUACAUCAGUGGCAUAUACAAUUAAAGAUAUUACCAGAGCGUCGUUAUGCGGUGUAAUCACUAUUUCCAUAUCUGCAUCACUGAAGCUUAUACUCUCAUGUUUUACGGUUUGCCGCACUCGCUUGCCGUGUGUGAUCGUCAUUUUGGAAACUUUGUUUGAAGCCGUGUACAUUACUCCGUAUAUAUCUUCCCCUCCAUUGAUGACAUUUACUACCCUCUUAGGUGAAGGCGGUUUCGGUGGCUCUUGCCUAUUUUUCAUGUAGGCUUGCUUUCCCUUUUCACUGAACAGCUCCNNN